UACAGUUAGAAUAAACUAAACUAAACAAAUUCAAUAAAAAGAGAGUAUGUAUAUGCAUAUUCAUUGCAUGGUGGAUCUACACAUGUUACAUGUAUACAUAUACCAAUGUGCCAUUACUUUAGGUAAGUAAUGGGCUUGCUAAAAAAUUGAAUAAGGGUUACAAUCUAAAUCGUAAAUUAUUCAUCAAAACAAAUCCGGAAUCACAA
This 206-nucleotide unclassified non-coding RNA is filed under the name Hevea brasiliensis (rubber tree). The record is from RNAcentral. Lineage: Eukaryota; Viridiplantae; Streptophyta; Magnoliopsida; Malpighiales; Euphorbiaceae.